Molecule: long non-coding RNA, 525 nt
Organism: Lycium barbarum (goji berry)
Lineage: Eukaryota; Viridiplantae; Streptophyta; Magnoliopsida; Solanales; Solanaceae
Exons: 2
Source: RefSeq, a predicted model, not a curated record
CACGAUAUGAUUUUGGUGCUACAAGACCAAAGGUGCAGGGAUAUGGUAUUUACACUGACAUACGUACUGGAACAUCAAUAUUCAACCAAGGGAUGCCAAGUGAAAGAGUUCUAACACCCGGACUUCUGAAAAAUGCAGCUGAAACCAAUAUUGAUCUUGGCUUUCGACCUCAUGCUCUCAAACGGAAAGGCAAGAAAGCUAUAACCACUUCCCAAAUUCAGCAUCACAGAAACAUUGUUGCAAGUGCCAGAAAAAAAUUGAAAAAUUUUGCUUCAUCAAAUGAUAUAGAGUGACCCAGUGAAGAUGCAACUGUUUGAGAGCAACAAUGCUUUAGCACUUUAAGAAUCACUUUAGGAGGACUUUUGUAAAUCAAGUGCUUUAGCACAACUUGUUUUGCUUUUUGGGAUUUUAUAUUAAUUUCUUCAACACUAGUUGUUUUGUGGCCUGGAAGCAACUCUUUUGCAGCUCAUAUUUUGAGCUUUAAUUGUAUUAAUUAUAGCACAAGGAUAGCCGAAAGUUUCUUGA